RNAcentral lists this ribosomal RNA (520 nucleotides) under uncultured Archaeospora. RNAcentral's name for it is "SSU rRNA". It matches the Rfam family "Eukaryotic small subunit ribosomal RNA", at positions 569 to 1092 of the family's 1831-position model. Lineage: Eukaryota; Fungi; Glomeromycota; Glomeromycetes; Archaeosporales; Archaeosporaceae. The record is from RNAcentral.
AGCAGCCGCGGUAAUUCCAGCUCCAAUAGCGUAUAUUAAAGUUGUUGCAGUUAAAAAGCUCGUAGUUGAAUUUUAGGCCUGGCCGGGCGGUCCGUCUUUGGCGAGUACUGUCUUGUUGUCGGGUCUUCCUUCUGGUGAACCAGUAUGUCCUUUAUUGGGUGUGUUGGGGAGCCAGGACCAUUACCUUGAAAAAAUUAGAGUGUUUAAAGCGGGCUAUUGCUUGAAUAGAUUAGCAUGGAAUAAUAGAAUAGGACGUUGUGGUUCUAUUUUGUUGGUUUCUAGGACCACCGUAAUGAUUAAUAGGGAUAGUUGGGGGCAUUAGUAUUCAAUUGUCAGAGGUGAAAUUCUUGGAUUUAUUGAAGACUAACUAUUGCGAAAGCAUUUGCCAAGGAUGUUUUCAUUAAUCAAGAACGAAAGUUAGGGGAUCGAAGACGAUCAGAUACCGUCGUAGUCUUAACCAUAAACUAUGCCGACUAGGAAUCGGGCGACGUUAUUUUCACGACUCGCUCGGCGCCUUAUG